Monopterus albus (swamp eel) is the source of this 401-nucleotide long non-coding RNA. RefSeq lists it as uncharacterized. The transcript has 2 exons. The record is from RefSeq and is a predicted model, not a curated record. Lineage: Eukaryota; Metazoa; Chordata; Actinopteri; Synbranchiformes; Synbranchidae.
ACAAAACCCUUAUUUCUCUGUACACAGACCCAUAAGUAUCAGUUAGUAAAUACUCAGAACACUUGUUGGUGUUUUUGUAACUUUUGGUGCUUUUCUUUCAGAAAAUGAAUAUUGUGUUCCUGGUCUUUGCUUUUGUGGCUGUGAUCGGUGCAGCACCAGUACCAGACAGUGAUGCUUCACCUGAAACACCCACAGGUGAGGGACGGAAUGUGAGAGCCCUGGGAAAUGAUGCGAUGAACCUGACACAUUUUGGGAAUGGGGUCCUGUCAAUCGAGCAUACGGAGGACAGAUGUUUGUUGUUCACAUGUAAAUGAAGAAUGGAAAUGUCAGCAUAAUCAACACCUGAUCUUUGUUAUGAUCACCUCACUUAUGAUGAUAAUAAAUACCCUUUGAGCAUUGUC